Molecule: ribosomal RNA, 253 nt
Filed under: uncultured bacterium
Lineage: Bacteria
Description: partial 16S ribosomal RNA
Rfam family: Bacterial small subunit ribosomal RNA
Source: RNAcentral
UACAGAGGGGGCAAGCGUUGUUCGGAAUUACUGGGCGUAAAGGGCGCGUAGGCGGCCUUCUAAGUCGGACGUGAAAUCCCCGGGCUCAACCCGGGAACUGCGUCCGAUACUGGAAGGCUUGAAUCCGGGAGAGGGAUGCGGAAUUCCAGGUGUAGCGGUGAAAUGCGUAGAUAUCUGGAGGAACACCGGUGGCUAAGGCGGCACCCUGGACCGGUAUUGACGCUGAGGCGCGAAAGCGAGGGGAGCAAACGGG